UACGAAGGGGGCUAGCGUUGCUCGGAAUGACUGGGCGUAAAGGGCGCGUAGGCGGCUUGCACCGUCAGAUGUGAAAUUCCUGGGCUUAACCUGGGGGCUGCAUUUGAUACGUGUGGGCUUGAGUGCGGAAGAGGGUCGUGGAAUUCCCAGUGUAGAGGUGAAAUGCGUAGAGAUCGGAAAGAACACCAACGGCGAAAGCACUCUGCUGGGCCGACACUGACACUGAGAGACGAAAGCUAGGGGAGCGAAUGGG
Molecule: ribosomal RNA, 253 nt
Filed under: uncultured bacterium
Lineage: Bacteria
Description: partial 16S ribosomal RNA
Rfam family: Bacterial small subunit ribosomal RNA
Source: RNAcentral